Molecule: long non-coding RNA, 475 nt
Filed under: Marmota marmota marmota (Alpine marmot)
Lineage: Eukaryota; Metazoa; Chordata; Mammalia; Rodentia; Sciuridae
Description: lncRNA (ENSMMMG00000007371.1)
Rfam family: ZNFX1 antisense RNA 1 conserved region 1 (bases 23-214)
Source: RNAcentral
CGAAGCGCGACAUGGCGGCGAGGCCCAGGAGCCCGGCUGCCCAGUGUGUACGAGGCGGGGGGCGGGGCUAGGCGCGGCCUUGACAACCAUUAGAGCGCUUGGGGCUGCGCGGCUCAGGGACUAUGUUUCCCAGGGGCCGUCGCGGCGGGCCGGAAGGGGCGGGCCCCCUGCCAGUGCUCACGCGCGCCAGUCCGGCUGAUUAUAUAAGGCAGGCUCCGGCCGCGUUCGUUCUUUUGCUUCGGAGGUGCUUGUGGUGUGUGGUAGUUUUGUUCGCGAUCCUCGGCAUGUCUUCCUUCGCUGCCCACCACGUUUGUUUAAUGGUUAACGCAAUUGGAUUCAGAAUGGAUGUUGCAAGACGGGCUCACCUCUGGGCUUCCACGGGAACCCCACUUUCUGUCUUCGGAGCUCUGGGGUUUGCUACCAGAAACCAGGGUUUGAAUGAACAAGGAUGAAUUCCAGGAGUGUGAAAGGAUUG